This 366-nucleotide ribosomal RNA is filed under the name uncultured bacterium. RNAcentral describes it as "bacterial SSU rRNA". It matches the Rfam family "Bacterial small subunit ribosomal RNA", at positions 8 to 353 of the family's 1533-position model. The record is from RNAcentral.
AGAGUUUGAUCAUGGCUCAGGAUGAACGCUAGCUACAGGCUUAACACAUGCAAGUCGAGGGGCAGCAUGGUCUUAGCUUGCUAAGGCCGAUGGCGACCGGCGCACGGGUGAGUAACGCGUAUCCAACCCUGCCUUACUACGUCUUAGGUACAGACCUUACUGAAAGGGACGAUUAAUACAAGAUGUUAUCAUGAGUAAGACAUUUUCGACAUUGAUUAAAGGUUUACCGGUGUAAGAGUGGGGAUGCGUUCCAUUAGAUAGUAGGCGGGGUAACGGCCCACCUAGUCUUCGAUGGAUAGGGGUUCUGAGAGGAAGGUCCCCCACAUUGGAACUGAGACACGGUCCAAACUCCUACGGGAGGCAGCA